This is a long non-coding RNA of Ananas comosus (pineapple), 468 nucleotides long. RefSeq lists it as uncharacterized. Lineage: Eukaryota; Viridiplantae; Streptophyta; Magnoliopsida; Poales; Bromeliaceae. The transcript is spliced from 3 exons. The record is from RefSeq and is a predicted model, not a curated record.
AUUAAAGUAGAAUGGAACAAAUUUGGACAACCUAUAAAGAAAGGCGGGGGGAUUUUAGGUGGUUGGUUAGGAACAGUUGCACGUCGUGGGAAUAUGUGUCCUAUCCACUAUAUAAGUUGGAAGGUUAUGCCCUUAGUGCCUUUUAAAGUGGAUAUCAUCAAAAUGACUCGGAGUAAGUUUAUCUUCCUUGCGAUAAUAAGGUUGAAGCAUGGGUGUUGAAAUCAGUUAGUAGAAAAUGGAAAGACUACAAACAUGAGCUUAAGAUAAAACAUAAGAAGGCUAAUAGAACACAAGCAGAGAUUACUAGUGAUGUUCCUCCAGAAAUUGUGCCACAACAAUGGAUAGAUCUUGUCAGCAAUUGGUUUUCGGAGAGAAGUGAGAAUCUCUCACGGAUUGGGAAAGCAUCUCGUGCAAAUCAUACAACUCCUCACACAAUUGGUUCCAAGAGUUUUGCAAGAAAGAGACAAG